CUCGGGGUAGUUUGUUACAGCGUAAAAUAUGUCACUUCCUGUUGCCAGUAGGUGGCGCUAUGACUAUAACUGAAUAUGGGCAUAUCAAUCUGUUCAGGUCAGGAGUCUUAUCAAUCAUGUGAAGUUUGGGGCAGAUUGGACAUUGUAUGUCUGAGUUAUAGCAACUUCAUUUUUCAUGGCGAAUCAUCGAAAUUCGUCAGGCCGCCACGGACACGCCCUUCAACGAAAACUCAAGAUCUUCGCAAUUUAACAUCGCAAAGGCCUUUAGAUUAGGCAUACCAAAUUUGGUGUUGAUCUGAAUAAAUCUCUAGGAGGAGUUCGUUAAAAUACAAGGCAUGCAAAUGACAAAAAU
Cyprinus carpio carpio is the source of this 352-nucleotide long non-coding RNA. The record is from Ensembl. Lineage: Eukaryota; Metazoa; Chordata; Actinopteri; Cypriniformes; Cyprinidae.